RNAcentral lists this long non-coding RNA (915 nucleotides) under Pan troglodytes (chimpanzee). Its description in RNAcentral is "long non-coding RNA NONPTRT001561". Lineage: Eukaryota; Metazoa; Chordata; Mammalia; Primates; Hominidae. The record is from RNAcentral.
GAAAACAGCCUGAGAGGGGGGCCCAGGCUCUCUCAGAAGACGGCCUGAGUCAGGUCCACGCUCCCCCGGGAGACGGCCUGAGCAUGGGCGAGGCUCCUCCGGAAGACCUGAGCAACGGCCCAUGCCCUCCCAGGCGACGGCCUGAGCGGGGUCCAGGCUCCCCCGGAAGACACGGUCCACGCUCUCUGAGAAGAUGGCGUGUGGGUCGGCGCGGAGGAGGAGUGGAGAGAAUGAGAACAAAGCUUCCCAGUGGAAGAGAGAGCAGCUGUCUUCACGGUCAGGCCUGGGAGGGCCCAGCCUCGUGCCUGAAAGUAAAUUUAAGCAAGUUAUUCAGCGUUCAGAAGUCACUAAUUAGUGAAGCUCUACCUUAUGAAGUCUCAUUUUCAUGAGGCCCACAUUGGGAAGAUCACACAGCCAAGACAUGGCGCUGGGUUCCAGUGUUCCCACACCCAGCAAGAUUGGAGAGGACCCUGCUGGCCCAGCGCGGCUGAGAACCAUGCCAGUCAUCUGGUCCUUUAUUUUGUAACAUAAAUAUGUUUGUACGUCAGCUCGAUGGUCUUUUUCCGCCUUAGAUUUUGCUGGCACAUGCAGAGCAAGUGUGUGUGUGAAACUUAAUCCAAAGGUCAGUUACUAUUUCACAGUAAUGACUCCCAAGUGUGUGAGAGUGUAAUGAAUGUGACGAGGAGGUCAUUACACACUCGUGAAAAACUCUGGAAAUGGAAAUGGUUGAAUUCAAAUAACCAGCUGGCUUGUUAUUAAUGGGUUGGUGGCUCGUUGUUUCCACGGGGCUGAUUGAUCACAUUUAGCCCUCAUUCAUCUCUUCCCCCAUCCUGGCUGACUGGAGAGGACGCCUUCUUGGCUCUCAGCAUGCCCCUCGCGGCUGGGUCACCCUUGUUUCUCAGAGUGGAAUUCCCU